GAUGAACGCUGGCGGCGUGCUUAACACAUGCAAGUCGAACGGAAAGGCCAGUGCUUGCACUGGUACCCGAGUGGCGAACGGGUGAGUAACACGUGGGUGAUCUGCCCUGCACUUCGGGAUAAGCCUGGGAAACUGGGUCUAAUACCGGAUAGGACAAUGGUUUGGAUGCCGUUGUGGAAAGUUUUUUCGGUGUGGGAUGAGCUCGCGGCCUAUCAGCUUGUUGGUGGGGUAAUGGCCUACCAAGGCGUCGACGGGUAGCCGGCCUGAGAGGGUGUACGGCCACAUUGGGACUGAGAUACGGCCCAGACUCCUACGGGAGGCAGCAGUGGGGAAUAUUGCACAAUGGGCGCAAGCCUGAUGCAGUGACGCCGCGUGGGGGAUGACGGCCUUCGGGUUGUAAACUCCUUUCGCUAGGGACGAAGCGUAUUUGUGACGGUACCUGGAGAAGAAGCACCGGCUAACUACGUG
This 468-nucleotide ribosomal RNA is filed under the name uncultured bacterium. RNAcentral describes it as "partial 16S ribosomal RNA". It matches the Rfam family "Bacterial small subunit ribosomal RNA", at positions 28 to 507 of the family's 1533-position model. The record is from RNAcentral.